GACGAACGCUGGCGGCGUGCUUAACACAUGCAAGUCGAACGGAAAGGCCCUGCUUUUGUGGGGUGCUCGAGUGGCGAAAGGGUGAGUAACACGUGAGUAACCUGCCCUUGACUUUGGGAUAACUUCAGGAAACUGGGGCUAAUACCGGAUAGGAGCUCCUGCUGCAUGGUGGGGGUUGGCAAGUUUCGGCGGUUGGGGAUGGACUCGCGGCUUAUCAGCGUGUUGGUGGGGUAGUGGCUUACCAAGGCUUUGACGGGUAGCCGGCCUGAGAGCGUGACCGGCCACAUUGGGACUAAGAGACGGCCCAGACUCCUACGGGAGGCAGCGGUGGGGAAUAUUGCACAAUGGGCGGGAGCCUGAUGCAGCAACGCCGCGUGCGGGAUGACGGCCUUCGGGUUGUAAACCGCUUUCGCCUGUGACGAAGCGUGAGUGACGGUAAUGGGUAAAGAAGCACCGGCUAACUACGUG
Molecule: ribosomal RNA, 468 nt
Filed under: uncultured bacterium
Lineage: Bacteria
Description: partial 16S ribosomal RNA
Rfam family: Bacterial small subunit ribosomal RNA
Source: RNAcentral